RNAcentral lists this long non-coding RNA (678 nucleotides) under Brassica napus (rape). RNAcentral describes it as "long non-coding RNA (BNAP_LNC009846)". Lineage: Eukaryota; Viridiplantae; Streptophyta; Magnoliopsida; Brassicales; Brassicaceae. The record is from RNAcentral.
GUCGUGAGUCUCAGAGAGUUUGAUGUGGAGAAGACUGAUCGCUCAACCCUUCUGGCUCGGGCCAAGCUUGAUCAUUUCAGUACGUAACGCACCCAGCGACCACUUGAGAAGGGAUGUGUCCCUCGAUCCACUUCUCUCGACGCCCAGCCUACAAACCAUGACCCGCGAAGCUUCAAUCGAUCGAGACACACGAAUAAAACUGCUCGAGCCAGCACUCUCGAUCCCAGACUUCAACUUUCCAGCCCGACCAGCCUGAAUGGGCCGCUUAAAGAAUCUGAAUGCUCGAUGGUGUCCUCUCGGUUCGACCAGCCGCUCCGACGAGGAGAAGAGAGGAGUAUGCGCGACGGCGAGACAAGAAGCUCCGACUUGUACGCGGGAGAGACGAAGGCAAGCAGCUGCAGUGGUCGCGACGGAGGAGCUGGUGCAGCGGCGAAGCCCGAGCUCGAGACGCAAGCGCGAGGAAGAAGAAGAAGCUAAACGCGUUUGGCUCAAAACACCAAACGCCAGACGCGGUUUUGCCCUGGUCGCAGCGUUUUGUUAAAACUGCGUUUGACCUUUAUUUUAAUGACCUAUAAAUACCCCUGUUCGGAACUACGCUAGGCGCUAGUCGGGCGGUGAUCCCGGGCCUAGCGAGUUACCAGAAAAUCGGGGAUUAAUCGGGGUAUACGCGGGGCCUAG